Molecule: ribosomal RNA, 324 nt
Filed under: Stanwellia nebulosa
Lineage: Eukaryota; Metazoa; Arthropoda; Arachnida; Araneae; Nemesiidae
Description: partial 12S ribosomal RNA
Source: RNAcentral
UCUUGUUAUUUAUUAGGUAUUAAUAUUGAAGAAACCUAUGCCCUUUGACGGCCCUUUUCCUUAUUAAAGGAACUUGUUAUUUAUCGAAAAUACCCGUUUAAUUUCACUUUAUUUUUGCUUUUAUAUCGCCGUCUUUAGAAUAUUUUUAUAUUUAUAUUCUCGAUAAUAUUAUUAAAAAGUCAGGUCAAGAUGAAGCUAUAAUUUAGGUUAUAAUAAGUUAUUCAUUAAUAUAAUUAAAAGAAAAUUAAUAAAAAUCCAUUUAGAAUCAAGAUUUAAAAGUAUAAACAAAAUAAUAUCUUAUUUAGAAAUAGUAAAAAAUGGUGA